UUUAGUUGUGGAUGACCAUUUCCAUUCAGGGUAAGUCUGAUGUACAAACAAGUCAUUUUAAAUAAUUCAUUUGUGUUUGCUUAUCUCAAUUUCUAUAUUAUUGCUUUGCACUUAGAAAUGAAUUACAUUUGGAAUAUUUCUAGAAUUCUAAUAAGAAGUGCAUGAUUUUAUCAUCUAUAUCAAAGUCUAUGCAGCCAUGUAUAUCUAGUGAUGUACAUUCUAUAUGUAAUCAAAUUAUGGCCGACUCUUUUAAAAAGAGUAUCAUUGUAUUGCAGAAAAAAUCCCAACCAAGUCCGGCUAGCAGACUGUACACCAGAUUGAAGAUACAUCAUUAAUACAAGAUGAAAAAAAUUAAUGGAGGACGAGGAUAAUACUAUGAAAGAGAUCAUAUGCAAGAGCAACCGUUCCCAUAGAAAUACAUGCAGCCAUGUAAACAGAAACCAGUUUUCACCUGCCAGGUGCUGGUCACAUAUAUAUUCAACUUGGAAGUUCAACAGAUUCAAGAAACAGAUCCAGUUGUUUGCUGAUAAAUUACUGCAGGUCAUUGGUAUCAUCUAGAACCAGGACUGUUUUAAAAAUCAUACUAGUAUGUUUGGAACAAAAUCAUGCUAGUAUAUGUUAGGAAUUUAACCUAAACAUGCUUUAAUUAUGAAGGUUUUGGUCAAAUUUUGGUUUACAAAAUAAUGUUUUUCAAACUUUCUAUUCAAAUUUAGCAAGAACAUUAGACACACAUGUAAUCCCAAAUGCUUUUAUGUCAGAUUAUUGCUUUAUUUAAAAAACUUGCAUAUAGGGUCUGUAAUGAUUUGAGAUAAUUAUGUAAACAAUAAAAUGCUUUUUUGGUGACAUAUGCGGGAUAUGAAUGUAGCGACAUUGCAGAAAAAAUACAUUACCCGCAUUAGCGAGUUAUGUAAAUUUUUUCUGCAAUCAUUGCUCCCUUCAUUACCUGCAUGAAUCGUCAAAGAAAGUUAUAUUGUUUAUAUUUACAUCUUUCUUUUAACAAAUUAAUAAAUUGUUUGUAAAGAGUAAGUUAAAUUUACUAUAUUAUUUUUAAUGUGCAUCAGUACGUUAGCUAAAAGAAACAGCCAAAUUGUCUUCAAUGGGAAUGUGAGUCUGCAUUGAUAUCCUGAUUAUUUCAAUGAUUUUUCUAAGGUCAUUAUAGGUUUCGACCAAUCGUUAAACAAGGCGUUAACUAUAAGUUUCCAUAAGAAAUGGAGGAAAGCAUACUCAUUAGAUGUAAAUAUAAUUCAGUAAACAUAUUGAUUAACAUAAACAUUGACUUGUGUUCUUCUGCUCACAUGAACAGAUAUGAUUUUAAAUUCCUAUUCAAGAGCAAAAACAAUUUGAUGAAAAGUUUAUGUCAACAUUAGGGACUUUUUUUUCAUCAGUAUAACACCUGUACAUGUACCUGGGGUUUUUUUUUAUCUGAAGUUUAUGAUACAGAUAGAUAUUUUUUGCCUACAUCUGUAAUUUUUCUGUGUAACUUUUCUGUACCUAAAUGAUAACUUUUUUGUACCUACAUCUAUAACUUUUCUGUACCUAAACAAUAACUUUUCUGUAACUUUAUGUAUAACUUUUCUGUACCUACAUCUAUAACUUUUCUGUACCUAAAUGAUAACUUUUCUGUAACUAUAUGUAUAACUUUUCUGUACCUACAUCUAUAACUUUUCUGUACCUAAAUGAUAACUUUUCUGUAACUAUAUAUGUAUAACUUUUCUGUACCUACAUCUAUAACUUUUUUGUACCUAAAUGAUAACUUUUCUGUAACUAUAUGUAUAACUUUUCUGUAACUAUAUGUAUAACUUUUCUGUACCUACGUGUAUAACUUUUCUGUACCUAAAUGAUAACUUUUCUGUAACUAUACGUAUAACUUUUCUGUACCUAAAUGAUAACUUUUCUGUAACUAUAUGUAUAACUUUCCUGUACCUACAUCUAUAACUUUUCUGUACCUAAAUGAUAACUUUUCUAUACCUAUAUGUAUAACUUUUUUGUACCUAAAUGAUAACUUUUCUGUAACUUUAAUUUGUAACUUUUUUGUACCUAAAUGAUAACUUUAUUAUAACUUUUUGAUAACUUUUUUAUACCUAUUUAUUUUUAUGAAAAAAAUAAAUUGUCAAUAGUUACACUCUAGUUAUGACUUUUUUGUACUUAAGCAAAAAGUUACAAUAUAGGUAUAACUUUUUGAUGCUAAUUUGGAACCAUAAUUGAUCAGAUGGUUCCAAAUUGUGCUAACUUAGUUAUGACUUUUUUGUAACUUUUUUAAGGGCUCAUAGGUAUAACUUUUUAGUGCUUUUUUUUUGUAUGGGAGAUAUUA
Molecule: long non-coding RNA, 2311 nt
Organism: Magallana angulata
Lineage: Eukaryota; Metazoa; Mollusca; Bivalvia; Ostreida; Ostreidae
Exons: 3
Source: RefSeq, a predicted model, not a curated record